This 754-nucleotide long non-coding RNA is filed under the name Nicotiana benthamiana. RNAcentral describes it as "long non-coding RNA (NBEN_LNC041690)". Lineage: Eukaryota; Viridiplantae; Streptophyta; Magnoliopsida; Solanales; Solanaceae. The record is from RNAcentral.
CAAAUAAGUUACCUUUCUCUCUUGUUAUGUUUCUAAGAAAGAGGCUCAAAUUCACUGCUCACAACAACCCUAACAAAGAAAACAGCACAGCAAACACAACAAGUAUGGUCCAUAAUAUACUAUACACUUUAUUUUUAUAUAUACUGUAUACUAUAUGUUUAUAUACUUGUGGCCUAUGUGUAAAGAGAACCCACAAAACCAAACAAGCAACACAAAGAUUCUUCCUUUCAGCAAAGACCAAAUACAAUAUUAAGUUGGAUUUUUUACUAGUAGCUAGCUUUUUCAUUAACUGGCAUUUGUAUUUACAUAACCUCUCACUCACUACAUGUUAACUCCUACGUGUACAAUCCCCAACCCCCUCCACCCCUAAGGGUUUUAAAGGCCGGCGAAGAAGGGAAAUGGAGACAAGAAAACAUGGUUAAUGAUGAGAGAGAAGGGGAAUAUGAUGGUUGGGUUUUUGGUUCGAGCUUUUUGUCGAACAGGUAGAGUGCGAAUUGGUUUUUAAUCGAGAAAACAGCAUGGAUCCAAUGAGAAUGUGGCUUUGGGUUCUGUGAUGGCUCUUUUUUGUGGUCCGCUUAAUUGGGUGACACGUGAAAAUGGCGUUACUACAAUCAUUUAUUUUUCAAAUGCGUUUCGUGCCUUUAUUUACUUGAUGCUUUGCUUUGUGUACAAGAGAGAGAAAAGAGAAUUUUUCAAAUGCGUUUCGUGCCUUUUAUUGCUUGGUGCUUUGCUUUGUGUACAAGAUAGAGAAUAG